AACAAAGGCUUUUCACUGUACCUCGGUGCAUGUGACAAUAAACUAAACUGAACUGAGAAUGUCAGGAGGAGAACCUUUGGUGCUGCAGUGAAUUUGUUUUUUCUCAUCAAAAUGCGGCAUCUUGUGACUUGUGACUCCAUGAACAAAUAAAAGAAUGAUUGAGAAUUGCUUCAUAUUUCAUCUCCACAGGUGGUGAUUUCACGAGUCCAGCGGUCCACGCCUCAUUUCACUUUCCAGCUGGAUUCCAGUUCAGUAUUCCCUGAAGUACUGGUCGAGCAAUCCGGGUCGGAAAAUGGCUACAUCAUCAUCAUUACUGGGAAAAAGAUAAGCAAAUUGCCUUUAACAGCUGCAAGGUGUGGCCAUUUCUUGUCCUGCAGUAAGUGUUUAACAGCUCCGUCCUUCAUGGGCUGUGGCUGGUGUAGUGGAAGGUGUUCCCGAAAGCAGGAAUGCAUGACUCACAUGUUGAACAUCUGCCCUGCUAUUAUCAGAGAGAUCUCUCCGCUAACUGCCCCCUCAGAGGGUGGAACAAGGCUGAUCAUUUGUGGAAGGAAUUUUGAAACCAUGAAAAUCGGUAAAGUAAGUGCUAAAACGACGGCCAUAAUUGUCGGAACUGCUCCCUGCAAAUUGGAAGCAAACAGAAGCAACAGGAACAGACUUGUUUGCCUAUUGGAAGCACUUAACGUCACACAAGAUUAUAAUCCAGUCUACAUUCAUUUAACAUUGAACAGAAAUUUAACAACACAAGCCGUCGGCUUUUCUUUCGUGGUAAGAAAUGUGGUUUUCUAUUUUUGCAUUGU
Leucoraja erinaceus (little skate) is the source of this 797-nucleotide long non-coding RNA. RefSeq lists it as uncharacterized. The transcript is spliced from 4 exons. The record is from RefSeq and is a predicted model, not a curated record. Lineage: Eukaryota; Metazoa; Chordata; Chondrichthyes; Rajiformes; Rajidae.